CCCUUAGACGUUCUGGGCCGCACGCGCGCUACACUGACCAGUGCAACAAGCAUCCGUCCUUGGCCGACAGGCCCGGGCAAUCUUUGAACGCUGGUCGUGAUGGGGAUAGACUUUUGCAAUUUUUGGUCUUCAACGAGGAAUUCCUAGUAAACGCAAGUCAUCAACUUGCAUUGAUUACGUCCCUGCCCUUUGUACACACCGCCCGUCGCACCUACCGAUUGAAUGGUCCGGUGAAGCCUCCGGAUUGGCGCGCACCUCGGUGCCGCAGAGAAGUUGGCUAAACCUUACCAUUUAGAGGAAGGUGAAGUCGUAACA
Molecule: ribosomal RNA, 315 nt
Filed under: uncultured eukaryote
Lineage: Eukaryota
Description: partial 18S ribosomal RNA
Rfam family: Eukaryotic small subunit ribosomal RNA
Source: RNAcentral